CACUUCCACAUGUAUAAGCUUUGUAUGUCCCUCCUUUUUCUGCAUCUUUGUUUCCAAAGGUCGAGAAAGUACGUCUCAUCUUUUUCUUCAAAAUUUCUUGCAUGAGACUGACCAUUGUUUCUUCUUUUUCUUUAGGAGCUUAGGUUGUAUUUCCGAGGGGAGCAUACUUAUUAUUACCUUAAUUGGGUUUGACUUUUGGCUACUGUAUUGCUGUCACAACUUACCUGGGAAAUAGAAAGAGAGUCAUGUUUGAUAAGGUAUUCUGAUUCAGCUGUAUGCUUGCAGAGCAUUUAUUUUUCUAUCCAAGUAUUACUAGACUCUACCAAGUUUUAUAAUGACAUAACAUUAACUUGUUACAGGAUAUGUACCGAGUAAUGAGUAUGUACAGAAGUGUUAGUUCUUGGUUCUUGCAUGGAGGUGAGCAAUUAUGGGUUGCAAACGUUGUUGCUGCCCAUCACCUGGUCCAAUUGAAGCACAACCAGUAGGCUGCCUUGAAUAAAGGAGUUCUCAAAGAUGAUGUCUUUUAGCACGACCAUUUUUAUUGAUUUAGUUUCUGUACAAUUUUGGGGCAUCCAAACUUGGAAAGUUUCACCCUUCAAGUUAAAUUGGGACAAUCCAUUCAUUAAUUUCAGCAAAAAAUAUUGGUACUGUUCUUCCCAUUUUUAUUCACAUUCGUAGAAAU
Molecule: long non-coding RNA, 682 nt
Filed under: Triticum aestivum (bread wheat)
Lineage: Eukaryota; Viridiplantae; Streptophyta; Magnoliopsida; Poales; Poaceae
Description: long non-coding RNA (TAES_LNC006380)
Source: RNAcentral